GAGUUUGAUCUUGGCUCAGGAUGAACGCUAGCGGCAGGCUUAACACAUGCAAGUCGAGGGGUAUAGGUUUUCGGACCUAGAGACCGGCGCACGGGUGCGUAACGCGUAUACAAUCUACCUUUUACAGAGGGAUAGCCCAGAGAAAUUUGGAUUAAUACCUCAUAGUAUUAUGAUAAGGCAUCUUAUUAUAAUUAAAGUUUCAACGGUAAAAGAUGAGCAUGCGUCCCAUUAGCUAGAUGGUAAGGUAACGGCUUACCAUGGCGACGAUGGGUAGGGGUCCUGAGAGGGAGAUCCCCACACUGGUACUGAGACACGGACCAGACUCCUACGGGAGCAGCAGUGAGGAAUAUUGGUCAAUGGGCGCAAGCCUGAACCAGCCAUGCCGCGUGCAGGAUGACGGUCCUAUGGAUUGUAAACUGCUUUUGUACAGGAAGAACACUGGAACGUGUUCCAGCUUGACGGUACUGUAAGAAUAAGGAUCGGCUAACUCCGUGCCAGCAGCCGCUGUAAU
RNAcentral lists this ribosomal RNA (511 nucleotides) under uncultured Flavobacterium sp. RNAcentral describes it as "bacterial SSU rRNA". It matches the Rfam family "Bacterial small subunit ribosomal RNA", at positions 9 to 524 of the family's 1533-position model. Lineage: Bacteria; Pseudomonadati; Bacteroidota; Flavobacteriia; Flavobacteriales; Flavobacteriaceae. The record is from RNAcentral.